Molecule: ribosomal RNA, 253 nt
Filed under: uncultured bacterium
Lineage: Bacteria
Description: partial 16S ribosomal RNA
Rfam family: Bacterial small subunit ribosomal RNA
Source: RNAcentral
UACGUAGGGGGCUAGCGUUGUCCGGAUUUAUUGGGCGUAAAGAGCGUGUAGGCGGCCAGGUAGGUCUGCUGUGAAAACUCGAGGCUCAACCUCGAGACGUCGGCGGAAACCAUCUGGCUAGAGUCCGGAAGAGGAGAGUGGAAUUCCUGGUGUAGCGGUGAAAUGCGCAGAUAUCAGGAAGAACACCCGUGGCGAAAGCGGCUCUCUGGAACGGUACUGACGCUGAGACGCGAAAGCGUGGGGAGCGAACAGG